CCCUUUUCUCUUCUCGGUGGACAGCAGUCCACGACUGCUUCUUCUCUUCUUUUUGUUAUUCUUUUCUUCUUCUUUCUUCCUUUUCUCGCACAAACACAGUGAGACAGAGAGAGUCGGAGAGACUGAGGGAGGAGAGAAAUAGGGAGAUGAGACCGAGAGAGAACCGAGUGAUGUGAGAGCCGAGAGAUUUUGAGAGAGAUGAGAUCGGGAGAGUUGAGGAGUGAUCGGAGCCCGAUCCUCUGGUGGGUGGCGCCGUUAAGACCAGAGGACGCCGGCGACGCGAUCUCCGGUGAGCCCGUGAACCAGAGAUGACCCGGGAGAGAGAGAACCCGAAACCUGUAGAACCCAUGACCCACGACCCGUGAGGACCCGAUCCUCCAUGAUCGGCGACUGGGACGGAAAUCCGGCGAUGGAGGAGCUCUGGCGGAAUCCAGGAGCUUGAACCCGCGACCCGUGAGCCCAGAAAACCCGAGGACCCGUGACCGUGACCCGUGCGACCCGCAACCCGCCUGACCCGAGAAGAAGACCCGGUUCUUCAAAGUGAUUUCCGGCGACUUUUCCGGCGGAAUUAGUGGCGUUUUUCGAUGGAUUGGCUAUGAAAAUUCUUGGGGAUCAUGUUCGGAUUGGAGACUUUAAUUGGUUCUCCAAUGUAGAGUCCAAGUGACUAGGGUUCAAGGGAGUGUUCGAGUUGGAGUCCAAUGCAGCCAAGAUGAUGUUUCUUUGGCUGCAGGUACUUCGGUAUAGUCGAUGGGUCGGUAGCAGUGUGCUUGGGAUAUUAUGACUGAAGCUCACCGCGACGGUUGUAAUUGUCGGACCACAGGCUGUCCACUGUUUUAUAGGUUUGGUAUAGCUUGUGACGUUUGUGUCACAUAUUCUUUGUAAAGUCAUUAUUGUUUUGUAAAUAUUGUGUUAAUAAGACUCAUACAGAUAAACGUUAAAUGGCUCUAUGUGGUAAUUAAUUUGUAAUAG
This is a long non-coding RNA of Alnus glutinosa, 969 nucleotides long. RefSeq lists it as uncharacterized. The record is from RefSeq and is a predicted model, not a curated record. Lineage: Eukaryota; Viridiplantae; Streptophyta; Magnoliopsida; Fagales; Betulaceae. The transcript has 3 exons.